This is a long non-coding RNA of Sphaeramia orbicularis (orbiculate cardinalfish), 2267 nucleotides long. RefSeq lists it as uncharacterized. NCBI's taxonomy places the organism in Eukaryota, Metazoa, Chordata, Actinopteri, Kurtiformes, Apogonidae. The record is from RefSeq and is a predicted model, not a curated record. The transcript has 3 exons.
AAGGAAAUACUAGCCUUUAAAAUAACUUUGAGUAAGGACAUAGAGGGUAGAAAAACUGGGAAUGUGGAAGCAAAAAUCUCUUUAUAUGCAGACGAUACUAGCUUUAUUAUAAACUAGAAUAUGACCAGUCUGUCUGAGCUUCUGAAACAGUAGUUUUACAAAAGAUGCUGUCUGUUGUGUGGAGACGAUGGAGGUGGAAAAUGCUGAGUGUAAGAUUCGUAUCAUUUCAGACUCAUCAAACCCUCGGGUCCGAUGGGGGGGGGGGGGUUCAGUCGUCCUGAAAGAAAUGACUCCCAUUAGGUUUUUCUCUUUAAUCUGUCACCCAUCUCAUCUAAGUCUGUGAUUAGUCAGGAAAUGACAAAGGCUUACGGACUUAAAAACAGUGAUCACAGUUGUCACAGUGAGGGCAGAGCUUCAUUUCAGCUCAGAGGAGGAAACAUUCACAAUCACGGUACAAAGCAGCUGAUUUCAGCGUGCUUUCACCUUAUUGAAGCCACAGAUCGGCUGUAAUCAACGACAGAGUGGAGUUCGGCGGGUAACACACUUAGAGAAAAUCACUCAAUCCACACAUGACUGGGCAGCUCUGUGGCAUGUAGAGCUCAUUGUUUACACCACAUGAAACCAGUUUCCACAAAAACUCGGAUCUCCGAUGGCAUUUUCAACCAGAAUGUGCAUACGUCAAAAAAAAAAAAAAAAGGGCAGAAUCUGAAACACAGGAAGUUUACGUCUAAUACUGUUGAAAAAAAAAAAUCAAAUAAAUAAAAGCAUGUAUUGUUUACAACAGCCUACUCUUGCUGAAGUUCAGGUUUGCUGCUGAAAGGGUUUAACACGCCCAAAAUUACGCUAAAGUCACGCGAUUGUUCAGUCGUGCAAUGCAAGCUUUGCUGAGACAGGCUGGUGCAAGAAGGGCAGAAUUUUUAAUAUAAUAGCCGUGUAUAUAUAUAUAUUGUUACUAUGUUGUUCCGUUAUGUUCCUUUUUUUUAAGGAAGCAGCUCUACUAUUAAUGUUUCAAAGAGAAUGUACAUGUUUAACCCCUUCUAUUCCACAGUAAAUCCUCUGAGAAUGUGCGCCUCAGUGCUCCAUGUUGGUUAUUUUGUUCAUAUGUCAAAUGUUGAGCUCUGUGUUUGAGCACAUAUAUCUGGGAAUAGAGAUGGUUGAACGCCAAAAGCCCAGGAGCAAAUGACCAAGAGUUAAAUAUUUAGAUUUAAGCAAAUAAGUACAACCAUACUUUGACACCUUUAAUGAUAUUCUGUAAAAACACUGCAUCAUGGAAUAAAUUGACAAAAUGGAACAUAUUUUCACUUCAUCACUCAUUUUGCGAUAAACAACAGUAUAAUGUUUAAUCCUGUCACAUGUGGAAGUACAAAACACACACUUUUGAAUGAUGAAUGCAUCACCUUCAUCUACACCUGUUUAACAGUGAAUUCUCCAAACAGUGGCAGCUGGUGUUAAACAAAAUGAACAAUAUGAUGUUUUUUUUCUUUUUACUAAAUCUCCUGUACUAAACAUGGAGGUGUAGGAGACUAAAUGUAGGUGGGCAGAAGUUUGUUACCAGUGACAUUUGGAACAGGUUCAUCCUCUGUUUCAGGUUCAUUCAGAGGCACAGACAACAUCUGUGUUACUUGGCAACCCAGCAGAAAUGAUCCAAUCACAUGAGGACAAAAAAUAGAAUAAUUCUGAUCAGCUACAGCGGGGGUGGUGCAAAAUGGGCGCCCAAGCUGCUACUUUUAUCCUCCAAUGAGAGCGCAGCCUGGUGUCACCUGUGUGGUGAACUGGUCCUCCACCUCUCAGCUCAAAGGUCUGACCCCCAGUCGGACCAAGGCUUUUCUGGGUGGACUUUUCCUGUUGUCUCCACAGCGCAUGGGGUUCCAUCAAAAACACCUAUAUAAAAGUAAAUACCCCUGUCAGUGACCUUGACCACGGUUCUGAGGAAGAUCUGGUCUUGGUCCUUGAGUGCCUUCAAUGGCAGCUCACUGCUCCUAAUAUGCUAAUGCUAAUGCUAAGUUACAGUGGGUAAAAUGCAGACACUAAAACAACAGUUAAAUACAGUUAAACCGACCCAAAUAAAUGUGGACAUCAACUGCAGGAUCUACAAUAAUGAUUUAAACAUGUUUUUCAUUUCAGGUAUAUUAUUACCCCUGUUGUAAAAGUAUGUAUGCUGUUCUUCUCCAACUUAAUUGAAGUAGAAAGGCACUUUUGCCUUUAUGGACCAGCUGCCACUGGCCCCAGUAUCAGACAUUAGUUGCAUAUAUCUGACUAUGAUUUUA